CUGCCCUCGAGCGCGGUUAGCUUGCUAUCCGCUGCCCGGUGUUGGGGCGCUACGGUUCCAGGGCCUCGUGCCCUGUCCGUAGGCCCCGAAAUGAAGUGGCGGUCCCGCCGCGGCGCCCCCUGCGUAGUAGUCUUACAACUCGCAUCGGGACCCGGUGGAGGCCAGCCGUCAACCCAUCUUUUUUAUG
RNAcentral lists this unclassified non-coding RNA (187 nucleotides) under Gamsia columbina. RNAcentral's name for it is "partial internal transcribed spacer 2". Lineage: Eukaryota; Fungi; Ascomycota; Sordariomycetes; Microascales; Microascaceae. The record is from RNAcentral.